CCACCGGAAAAAGAAGAGUGGCGAACGGGUGAGUAACACGUGGGUAACCUGCCCAUCAGAAGGGGAUAACACUUGGAAACAGGUGCUAAUACCGUAUAACAAUCGAAACCGCAUGGUUUUGAUUUGAAAGGCGCUUUCGGGUGUCGCUGAUGGAUGGACCCGCGGUGCAUUAGCUAGUUGGUGAGGUAACGGCUCACCAAGGCCACGAUGCAUAGCCGACCUGAGAGGGUGAUCGGCCACAUUGGGACUGAGACACGGCCCAAACUCCUACGGGAGGCAGCAGUAGGGAAUCUUCGGCAAUGGACGAAAGUCUGACCGAGCAACGCCGCGUGAGUGAAGAAGGUUUUCGGAUCGUAAAACUCUGUUGUUAGAGAAGAACAAGGAUGAGAGUAACUGUUCAUCCCUUGACGGUAUCUAACCAGAAAGCCACGGCUAACUACGUGCCAGCAGCCGCGGUAAUACGUAGGUGGCAAGCGUUGUCCGGAUUUAUUGGGCGUAAAGCGAGCGCAGGCGGUUUCUUAAGUCUGAUGUGAAAGCCCCCGGCUCAACCGGGGAGGGUCAUUGGAAACUGGGAGACUUGAGUGCAGAAGAGGAGAGUGGAAUUCCAUGUGUAGCGGUGAAAUGCGUAGAUAUAUGGAGGAACACCAGUGGCGAAGGCGGCUCUCUGGUCUGUAACUGACGCUGAGGCUCGAAAGCGUGGGGAGCAAACAGGAUUAGAUACCCUGGUAGUCCACGCCGUAAACGAUGAGUGCUAAGUGUUGGAGGGUUUCCGCCCUUCAGUGCU
This 784-nucleotide ribosomal RNA is filed under the name Enterococcus durans. RNAcentral describes it as "bacterial SSU rRNA". It matches the Rfam family "Bacterial small subunit ribosomal RNA", at positions 78 to 847 of the family's 1533-position model. Lineage: Bacteria; Bacillati; Bacillota; Bacilli; Lactobacillales; Enterococcaceae. The record is from RNAcentral.